Molecule: long non-coding RNA, 4390 nt
Filed under: Homo sapiens (human)
Lineage: Eukaryota; Metazoa; Chordata; Mammalia; Primates; Hominidae
Description: HSALNT0375621
Source: RNAcentral
AGGAAGAAAAAAAACCAACAAAAACUUAUAUGCAGUUUAUAGCCCAAAUUUGUAAACUUGUCCAUUUUAAGGUAGGUGAAAGGAUCUUGCCAAAGUUAGGGGCAAUUUGCAAUUCAUUGUUUUUAAAUUUGACACACAUUAAUAUUUUUGUGAAUGAUUAAGGCUAUUUAUUUUUGUAUAUCGCUUUACCUACCUGGACUGCAUUGCCACCUAGAAGGUGGCAGGAGGUAGUUGUCUGGAAUGUGGAGAACACUCCGCUGCCAUUUUUCUUUCACUUUGGCAUGAUCACAUGGUUUACCCUUUCUGUCUUUUCUUAGCCCUUGACUUCUAGGAUAUUGGAGGAAAGAGACAGAAGUACAGUAUAUCACUUUACCUGUCUGCACUAUAUGUGUGAUGUUGGAAAAGUCACUUAAUUUCUUCAUUCAUCAGUUUCUAUGUCUUCAACCAAAGAGGUGGAGCCUGAUGGUAAUUGGUUUCUCAUUGCUCUGACACUCUGAGUGUGCAUAUGUGGGGGUGGACGUCCUCCAUACAGAAAGCAAAAUGAUGGUUUUGAUGCUGAGAAAUGGACUAGCUAUGAACUCAAAGAUUUUACAUUGAUUCUUACUACAGAGGUGGGUUAUUGUUAUUGUACCAGUUCUCUAAUUUCAACGUACAGAGGCAGCUACACUGGCCUUCGUGGUUUUUUUCUGUGUCCUUAUUUAUGAACUUGGUGCAUAAAACCCUUCUUCAUUUCCUUAGAUGACUGAGGCAGUUAAUCCUUUAUUGAUCACUCACGAUUAUAACACAGGUGUUAUGCAAACACAGUGAGGUCUUUAUGCCCGAGGAGGCCUUCGCUGUGACAGAGCUUCUGACAACACACACUCAGGCUGUGUCUCCUUUGUACUGUCCCUGGGGCUGCUGACUUCCCUUCUCACUGCCUCUAAGUAAAACUUCUCACUCCUGUCAGGUGGCAGGUAAAGACAGAAACUGACUCUAGGGCCUACCUUAGGCCGUGUGAUCCCAGCACACUCAGAGGUCCUGGAGGGUGAAUCCCUAAAGCUGAGCUAGGGAUGGUAAAGGCACUCCAGCCUUCUCCAUAGUGGCUCCACAGUCCUCAGGUUUCUCUAUGAUUGGCUUUUUGGAGAAGCCAGAAAAGAAAAACCAAGAACCCCACUGAGGUGAACACAUGAUUGAUUUCAGCUCCACAACUGAGUGAGACAGUUUUUGGGAGGCACAUCAACCUGCAGGUAUAGAUGAGGCUGCAGGUUCUUUUCCGGGGCUGCUAGAGUGGAGUCAUCUGGGGACCAGUGAGAGAAAUGCAUCACUCACUUUGUAUUCUUAUCCCUGUGGUUGGGGAAGAAACACUCACCAGUCCACAGAAUGUGGUCACGUGACUAGGGAGAGACUCAAGGCAAAGGGCUCAAAAUGCCAUGCCCCAUUUUCCGUUUGUCAAUAAUCAGUGCUGUCAUCUUCCUGUUCAUGUUGUAAGUUUUGAUCUUUUCAGGACUGCUUCCUUGCCAAACCCUCGCGUCCACUCCCCAACACACUUUGUGCUAAUUAAUGGCAUUUCAUCGCUUGAUUUUGAAAAAUGAAAGUGUGAACUACUUGUGAAAGAGCUCUUAGCAAGAUAAGAAAGAAAAAAUGACUCCUUAUCUCCCUAACCUACAGAAAAGCUGGUAUGAUUAUGUCUUAAGAAUGUGCAUGAAAAUGUUAUUUCUAACAGAGGGAGUCCAGCAAACAUCCACACUCCAAAUACUGGGCUCCCUGCCUACACGCAGGCCUUUGCUGAAAUGUCACCUUCUUAUUGUAUCCCUUCUUGACAACCUGAUUUAAAAUUGUAAUUUCUGCAAGCCUGCUGACAACACUCUCUCUCUCCCCGCCUGUUUUACUCCUCUCCAUGGCAAUUAUCUCCAUCUGACAUAUAUUUUACUUAUUUUAUUUUGUGUUUAUUUCCACUGAAAUAUAAGCUCCUGAGAUUCUGAGAGCUGUGCUUCCAUUGUGUCUAGAAAAGCGUCUGGCACAUAUGAGCCUCAGACUCAGGGCUGGGACCCUUGGGACUCAAAAGAGAGAAAAGGUGGAGAAAAGAGAAAGCUACUAUUUUCUUCAUUUUGCCCCUGCUAACAUCCAAUGCACUUAGGAGCCUCGAUGUCUGCUCUCCAAGAGUGGAGAGAGGAUGCCAGACAGAUAUUUGAGCAGAACAAAGAGAGCCAACAGGAUGAAGGCAUUCCCUGGCUGGUUGGACAAGCAACUGAAGAACAGGAACAGAAGUGAAUGAAAAGAGAAGAUGCUGUGUUUGUGUUUUCUCUUGGUUAGAAUGCUGUGAGUCAGGACCUUAGCUGCUGGGUGUCCUGGGACUGCCUUCGAUGAAGAACCUGAGGCUCACCUUGCUUAAGUGACUUGAGCAGCUUCACGCAUCUUUCUGACAUUCCAGCAAUACCGGAGCAUUGACAGUUGAUAAUAGCUCUAUGUGCUACCUCUCCAAGAAACAAAUUUGCAUUUUAACCUGCCCCUUCAAUGGCUGAACUUCAAAGGGUCACUGAUGAAUGCCACAGCAGAGAAAACUGCAAAUUGGAACAGCAGAGCUGUGCCUCUGGCCAUUUCCUGGAACUACAGAGGAGCAACUUGCCCCGGUUUCCAGUGGGUGAUGUUCCUCUUCUGCCACAGUCCCUGGCGAUGUUGAUGUGAUUGCCAUCAGAGCUCAGAAGCACAGAGCAGAAUCAUCCCCUGGAGGAGGAUUCCCUUCAGUGUAAGAAGUUCUUACAGAAUUAAUCCUCAAAGACUGUGGGUGGACUCUGCCAGGUUUUUCCCCGGGUGUACCAGAAGAGAGGAAGAGCCCUCAAAUACAGGAAAGUGCUCUUUUCAGUGACAGUAGUUCUUUUGGGCCCUGUGGCUAAGUGUGCUCCCACCCCAGCAGUAAGAUCACAGCUAAUCCUGAGAGGCAAGAGCUCACACCAGGCUACUGAAAGAAAAAGUGUCCUUUGUGGAUUGCAAGAGGAACUGGGACACACUGCUGGAAAUGAAGUGGCAGGUCAUAAACUAUCAUAAACUCAGGAGGAGAGGUGUUCCUUUUUGAGACACUCAUCACAACUAGAGAGAAUGCAGCUAAGAAAAUGCAGUCUUUAGGGGGACCUGGACUGUUGAAGUAUUUGAGCUAUUCGGAGGAAAUAGAAACUUGGAAGAGAUCUUUGUUCCACUAUUAUUUGGCAGCCCCUUACCCGCAGCUGCCAUUACUCCAGAUUCUCUCUGAUGAUCCUGCAUCAGGAGAAUGAGUUGACUGGGCACCACUGGGAAAUGUGGGCAGCUCCAGGCUGAACUAGAGAAGGGGCAUGUCAAAGGUCACUUAUUUGUGGCUUGACCCUUUGGAGGCCAGAUGUAAGAAUCAAUUUCUCACAGGUCCCAUGCUAACGCUUUUCAUAUUUAUUUCCAUCUGAGACUCACUUAGGCUAGGCAAAUAUCCCAUGGGUCUGUACCUCUCCAGUGCUUUCUUGCUCAUGUAAAAUUAGCUCAUUGGAAUGAAUAAAGAGAAUGGUAUUACUUUGGCUCGAACACGAAUGAGCACUUUCACUUUGUCAUAGUGUAAAUAUUAAAGUUGUAAGAGACAGCCCAGGGACCAACUAUUUUUUUUUUAAAGAUCCAAGUGCUUGCAUAGUUUCUAAAAUUCUACACCGGGGAACUAUAUCCUCAUUCAGCACUGAGACUCCUUGGUUCCCUAAAACCAAAGUCUCCAGGUGCCUUCAGGGGCCAACCAAGAUGGAGCUCCUUAUAGACCCAUGCAAUGUCAGAACUGGAAAACUUAGAAAUCUUUCAGUCCACCCAUCAUUUUAUGGGUGGCAAACUGAGAUCCAGAGAAUGCUCAAAUCUCAUAAUUAGCUAUGAAAGGUUAUGAUUAAAAUGCAAAUUUGGGGCCUCCAAUUUGGUCCUCUUUUCACUCUCCUUCUUGCUGGGGAAAGAACAGUGAUUCCUUGAUUGGCAGAGCAGAAAAUAUCUUCAGUUUUUAGGAUGACUUUAUUCCCCUAAAGAGUAUCUUUGUCACAUCUCCUCCUUGUCCAUUUUUAGAGACUCUACAGUGUUUAGCUACUGGUAGAUUUGUUCUAGUGGAUCUGGUACAAAUCUUAUAGAAAUAUCUACAAUUAUUCCAUGUUAUUCUGAAAUUAUUCAUACAGCAUUUCUUCUGUUUUAUUAGCCAUUUUUAAGGGAGAAGGAACCUAAGAUUAAUUGCUAUGGCUACAUGUCAUGCUCACCAAUGAACUCACCUCAUUUUAAUCCUCAUGAUCUAUUAUAGUAGGAAUGCUUGUUGUACAUAAGUAUUCAGGAUUACUGAAUCCACUUGAAUUUUUUGAGGACAGUGGCCAAAUACAAUUCUGUGGUCAAUUUAGGCUGCUCCUACUGUUCCCUGAUGUUAGGCAUUUUC